This 930-nucleotide ribosomal RNA is filed under the name uncultured bacterium. RNAcentral describes it as "bacterial SSU rRNA". It matches the Rfam family "Bacterial small subunit ribosomal RNA", at positions 8 to 915 of the family's 1533-position model. The record is from RNAcentral.
AGAGUUUGAUCCUGGCUCAGGACGAACGCUGGCGGCGUGCUUAACACAUGCAAGUCGAACGGGGUGUUUAUUUCGGUAAACAUCAAGUGGCGAACGGGUGAGUAACGCGUAAGCAAUCUACCUUCAAGAUGGGGACAACACUUCGAAAGGGGUGCUAAUACCGAAUGAAUGUAAGAGUAUCGCAUGAGACACUUACUAAAGGAGGCCUCUGAAAAUGCUUCCGCUUGAAGAUGAGCUUGCGUCUGAUUAGCUAGUUGGUGAGGGUAAAGGCCCACCAAGGCGACGAUCAGUAGCCGGUCUGAGAGGAUGAACGGCCACAUUGGGACUGAGACACGGCCCAGACUCCUACGGGAGGCAGCAGUGGGGAAUCUUCCGCAAUGGGCGAAAGCCUGACGGAGCAACGCCGCGUGAACGAUGAAGGUCUUAGGAUCGUAAAGUUCUGUUGUUAGGGACGAAGGGCAAGGGUUAUAAUACAGCCUUUGUUUGACGGUACCUAACGAGGAAGCCACGGCUAACUACGUGCCAGCAGCCGCGGUAAUACGUAGGCGGCAAGCGUUGUCCGGAAUUAUUGGGCGUAAAGGGAGCGCAGGCGGGAAACUAAGCGGAUCUUAAAAGUGCGGGGCUCAACCCCGUGAUGGGGUCCGAACUGGUUUUCUUGAGUGCAGGAGAGGAAAGCGGAAUUCCCAGUGUAGCGGUGAAAUGCGUAGAUAUUGGGAAGAACACCAGUGGCGAAGGCGGCUUUCUGGACUGUAACUGACGCUGAGGCUCGAAAGCUAGGGUAGCGAACGGGAUUAGAUACCCCGGUAGUCCUAGCCGUAAACGAUGGAUACUAGGUGUGGGAGGUAUCGACCCCUUCCGUGCCGGAGUUAACGCAAUAAGUAUCCCGCCUGGGGAGUACGGCCGCAAGGUUGAAACUCAAAUGAAUUGACG